RNAcentral lists this ribosomal RNA (324 nucleotides) under Amblyomma longirostre. RNAcentral's name for it is "partial 16S ribosomal RNA". Lineage: Eukaryota; Metazoa; Arthropoda; Arachnida; Ixodida; Ixodidae. The record is from RNAcentral.
GGUAUUUUGACUAUACAAAGGUAUUGAAAUAAGAUUUUAAUUGAAUGCUAAGAGAAUGGAUUUACGAAAAAUGACUUUUUUAAAUUCAAUAAUUGAAUUUAUUUUUAUUUGUGAGGAAACAAUAAUAAAUAUUAAGGACAAGAAGACCCUAAGAAUUUUAAAAGAAUUAAUAUUUGAAUCAAAACUUAUAUCUUUUUAAUUGGGGCGAUUAAGAAAUAUUAAUAACUUUCUUUACUAUACCAAAAUGAACCGUUAAUAGCGGUAAUAUGAUAAAAAUACUCUAGGGAUAACAGCGUAAUAAUUUUUGAUAGUUCAUAUAGACAA